GGGUUGUGAGGUUAAGCGACUAAGCGUACACGGUGGAUGCCCUGGCAGUCAGAGGCGAUGAAGGACGUGCUAAUCUGCGAUAAGCGUCGGUAAGGUGAUAUGAACCGUUAUAACCGGCGAUUUCCGAAUGGGGAAACCCAGUGUGAUUCGUCACACUAUCAUUAACUGAAUCCAUAGGUUAAUGAGGCGAACCGGGGGAACUGAAACAUCUAAGUACCCCGAGGAAAAGAAAUCAACCGAGAUUCCCCCAGUAGCGGCGAGCGAACGGGGAGCAGCCCAGAGCCUGAAUCAGUGUGUGUGUUAGUGGAAGCGUCUGGAAAGGCGCGCGAUACAGGGUGACAGCCCCGUACACAAAAAUGCACAURCUGUGAGCUCGAUGAGUAGGGCGGGACACGUGGUAUCCUGUCUGAAUAUGGGGGGACCAUCCUCCAAGGCUAAAUACUCCUGACUGACCGAUAGUGAACCAGUACCGUGAGGGAAAGGCGAAAAGAACCCCGGCGAGGGGAGUGAAAAAGAACCUGAAACCGUGUACGUACAAGCAGUGGGAGCCUCUUUAUGGGGUGACUGCGUACCUUUUGUAUAAUGGGUCAGCGACUUAUAUUCUGUAGCAAGGUUAACCRAAUAGGGGAGCCGAAGGGAAACCGAGUCUUAACUGGGCGUUAAGUUGCAGGGUAUAGACCCGAAACCCGGUGAUCUAGCCAUGGGCAGGUUGAAGGUUGGGUAACACUAACUGGAGGACCGAACCGACUAAUGUUGAAAAAUUAGCGGAUGACUUGUGGCUGGGGGUGAAAGGCCAAUCAAACCGGGAGAUAGCUGGUUCUCCCCGAAAGCUAUUUAGGUAGCGCCUCGUGAAUUCAUCUCCGGGGGUAGAGCACUGUUUCGGCAAGGGGGUCAUCCCGACUUACCAACCCGAUGCAAACUGCGAAUACCGGAGAAUGUUAUCACGGGAGACACACGGCGGGUGCUAACGUCCGUCGUGAAGAGGGAAACAACCCAGACCGCCAGCUAAGGUCCCAAAGUCAUGGUUAAGUGGGAAACGAUGUGGGAAGGCCCAGACAGCCAGGAUGUUGGCUUAGAAGCAGCCAUCAUUUAAAGAAAGCGUAAUAGCUCACUGGUCGAGUCGGCCUGCGCGGAAGAUGUAACGGGGCUAAACCAUGCACCGAAGCUGCGGCAGCGACRCUUAUGCGUUGUUGGGUAGGGGAGCGUUCUGUAAGCCUGYGAAGGUGURCUGUGAGGYAUGCUGGAGGUAUCAGAAGUGCGAAUGCUGACAUAAGUAACGAUAAAGCGGGUGAAAAGCCCGCUCGCCGGAAGACCAAGGGUUCCUGUCCAACGUUAAUCGGGGCAGGGUGAGUCGACCCCUAAGGCGAGGCCGAAAGGCGUAGUCGAUGGGAAACAGGUUAAUAUUCCUGUACUUGGUGUUACUGCGAAGGGGGGACGGAGAAGGCUAUGUUGGCCGGGCGACGGUUGUCCCGGUUUAAGCGUGUAGGCUGGUUUUCCAGGCAAAUCCGGAAAAUCAAGGCUGAGGCGUGAUGACGAGGCACUACGGUGCUGAAGCRACAAAUGCCCUGCUUCCAGGAAAAGCCUCUAAGCAUCAGGUAACAUCAAAUCGUACCCCAAACCGACACAGGUGGUCAGGUAGAGAAUACCAAGGCGCUUGAGAGAACUCGGGUGAAGGAACUAGGCAAAAUGGUGCCGUAACUUCGGGAGAAGGCACGCUGAUAUGUAGGUGAAGCGACUUGCUCGUGGAGCUGAAAUCAGUCGAAGAUACCAGCUGGCUGCAACUGUUUAUUAAAAACACAGCACUGUGCAAACACGAAAGUGGACGUAUACGGUGUGACGCCUGCCCGGUGCCGGAAGGUUAAUUGAUGGGGUUAGCGGCAACGCGAAGCUCUUGAUCGAAGCCCCGGUAAACGGCGGCCGUAACUAUAACGGUCCUAAGGUAGCGAAAUUCCUUGUCGGGUAAGUUCCGACCUGCACGAAUGGCGUAAUGAUGGCCAGGCUGUCUCCACCCGAGACUCAGUGAAAUUGAACUCGCUGUGAAGAUGCAGUGUACCCGCGGCAAGACGGAAAGACCCCGUGAACCUUUACUAUAGCUUGACACUGAACAUUGAGCCUUGAUGUGUAGGAUAGGUGGGAGGCUUUGAAGUGUGGACGCCAGUCUGCAUGGAGCCGACCUUGAAAUACCACCCUUUAAUGUUUGAUGUUCUAACGUUGGCCCCUUAUCGGGGUUGCGGACAGUGUCUGGUGGGUAGUUUGACUGGGGCGGUCUCCUCCUAAAGAGUAACGGAGGAGCACGAAGGUUGGCUAAUCCUGGUCGGACAUCAGGAGGUUAGUGCAAUGGCAUAAGCCAGCUUGACUGCGAGCGUGACGGCGCGAGCAGGUGCGAAAGCAGGUCAUAGUGAUCCGGUGGUUCUGAAUGGAAGGGCCAUCGCUCAACGGAUAAAAGGUACUCCGGGGAUAACAGGCUGAUACCGCCCAAGAGUUCAUAUCGACGGCGGUGUUUGGCACCUCGAUGUCGGCUCAUCACAUCCUGGGGCUGAAGUAGGUCCCAAGGGUAUGGCUGUUCGCCAUUUAAAGUGGUACGCGAGCUGGGUUUAGAACGUCGUGAGACAGUUCGGUCCCUAUCUGCCGUGGGCGCUGGAGAACUGAGGGGGGCUGCUCCUAGUACGAGAGGACCGGAGUGGACGCAUCACUGGUGUUCGGGUUGUCAUGCCAAUGGCACUGCCCGGUAGCUAAAUGCGGAAGAGAUAAGUGCUGAAAGCAUCUAAGCACGAAACUUGCCCCGAGAUGAGUUCUCCCUGACCCUUUAAGGGUCCUGAAGGAACGUUGAAGACGACGACGUUGAUAGGCCGGGUGUGUAAGCGCAGCGAUGCGUUGAGCUAACCGGUACUAAUGAACCGUGAGGCUUAACCUUACAACGCCGAAGRUGUU
RNAcentral lists this ribosomal RNA (2931 nucleotides) under Escherichia coli. RNAcentral describes it as "23S ribosomal RNA". It matches the Rfam family "Bacterial large subunit ribosomal RNA". Lineage: Bacteria; Pseudomonadati; Pseudomonadota; Gammaproteobacteria; Enterobacterales; Enterobacteriaceae. The record is from RNAcentral.